UGGGGAAUAUUGGACAAUGGGCGAAAGCCUGAUCCAGCCAUGCCGCGUGUGUGAAGAAGGUCUUCGGAUUGUAAAGCACUUUAAGUUGGGAGGAAGGGCAGUAAGCGAAUACCUUGCUGUUUUGACGUUACCGACAGAAUAAGCACCGGCUAACUCUGUGCCAGCAGCCGCGGUAAUACAGAGGGUGCAAGCGUUAAUCGGAAUUACUGGGCGUAAAGCGCGCGUAGGUGGUUCGUUAAGUUGAAUGUGAAAGCCCCGGGCUCAACCUGGGAACUGCAUCCACAACUGGCGAGCUAGAGUAGGGCAGAGGGUGGUGGAAUUUCCUGUGUAGCGGAGAAAUGCGUAGAUAUAGGAAGGAACACCAGUGGCGAAGGCGACCACCUGGGCUCAUACUGACACUGAGGUGCGAAAGCGUGGGGAGCAAACAGG
This 429-nucleotide ribosomal RNA is filed under the name Pseudomonadota bacterium. RNAcentral's name for it is "Proteobacteria bacterium partial 16S ribosomal RNA". It matches the Rfam family "Bacterial small subunit ribosomal RNA", at positions 355 to 776 of the family's 1533-position model. The record is from RNAcentral. Lineage: Bacteria; Pseudomonadati; Pseudomonadota.